UGCUUAAUACAUGCAAGUCGAGCGAGAAAGAGGGCUUCGGCCCUUGAGUACAGCGGCGAACGGGUGCGCAAUACAUGAGCAAUCUACCCUUGAGGCGGGAAUAACCCAGCGAAAGUUGGGCUAAUACCGGAUAAGACCACAAGAGGAGACCCUAGAGGUUAAAGGCAGCUUUCUUUUGGGAGCGGCCCUUCGAGGAGGAGCUCAUGUCCUAUCAGCUAGUUGGUAGGGUAACGGCCUACCAAGGCGAAGACGGGUAGCUGGUCUUAGAGGAUGAUCAGCCACACGGGGACUGAGACACGGCCCCGACUCCUACGGGAGGCAGCAGUGGGGAAUAUUGGGCAAUGGGCGAAAGCCUGACCCAGCGACGCCGCGUGGGUGAUGAAGGCCUUCGGGUCGUAAAGCCCUGUCAGGAGGAAAGAACGAUCUUGUGGUGAACACCCACGAGAUGUGACGGUACCUCCGAAGGAAGCACCGGCCAAUUCCGUGCCAGCAGCCGCGGUAAGACGGAAGGUGCAAGCGUUGCUCGGAAUCACUGGGCGUAAAGGGUGCGUAGGCGGCUUCUUAAGUCUGGUGUGAAAGCCCAGGGCUCAGCUCUGGAAGUGCAUUAGAUACUGGGAAGCUUGAGUACCGGAGGGGAGAGUGGAAUUCCUGGUGUAGCGGUGAAAUGCGUAGAUAUCAGGAGGAAUACCGGUGGCGAAAGCGACUCUCUGGACGGUUACUGACGCUGAGGCACGAAAGCGUGGGGAGCGAACAGGAUUAGAUACCCUGGUAGUCCACGCUGUAAACGUUGGGCGCUAGGUGUGGGAUCCCUUCCACGGGUUCCGUGCCGCAGCUAACGCAUUAAGCGCCCCGCCUGGGGAGUACGGCCGCAAGGCUAAAACUCAAAGGAAUUGACGGGGGCCCGCACAAGCGGCGGAGCAUGUGGAUUAAUUCGAUGCAACGCGAAGAACCUUACCUGGGUUUGACAUACACUGGAAAGCCAUGGAGACAUGGCCUCCGCAAGGCCGGUGUACAGGUGGUGCAUGGCUGUCGUCAGCUCGUGUCGUGAGAUGUUGGGUUAAGUCCCGCAACGAGCGCAACCCUUGUCUCAUGUUGCCAGCGGGUUAUGCCGGGGACUCAUGAGAGACUGCCGGGGUCAACUCGGAGGAAGGUGGGGACGACGUCAAGUCAUCAUGCCCCUUAUGUCCAGGGCUUCACACAUGCUACAAUGGCCGGUACAGAGGGCUGCUAAGCCGUGAGGUGGAGCGAAUCCCACAAAGCCGGUCUCAGUUCGGAUCGGGGUCUGCAACUCGACCCCGUGAAGUCGGAGUCGCUAGUAAUCGCAGAUCAGCAACGCUGCGGUGAAUACGUUCCCGGGCCUUGCACACACCGCCCGUCAC
RNAcentral lists this ribosomal RNA (1379 nucleotides) under uncultured bacterium. Its description in RNAcentral is "partial 16S ribosomal RNA". It matches the Rfam family "Bacterial small subunit ribosomal RNA", at positions 45 to 1400 of the family's 1533-position model. The record is from RNAcentral.